Molecule: non-coding RNA, 21 nt
Filed under: Arabidopsis thaliana (thale cress)
Lineage: Eukaryota; Viridiplantae; Streptophyta; Magnoliopsida; Brassicales; Brassicaceae
Source: RNAcentral
GACGGUGGUCAUGGAAGUCGA